RNAcentral lists this ribosomal RNA (454 nucleotides) under uncultured bacterium. RNAcentral describes it as "bacterial SSU rRNA". It matches the Rfam family "Bacterial small subunit ribosomal RNA", at positions 337 to 802 of the family's 1533-position model. The record is from RNAcentral.
UCCUACGGGAGGCAGCAGUGGGGAAUAUUGGGCAAUGGACGAAAGUCUGACCCAGCAACGCCGCGUGGAGGAUGAAUGCCGUAAGGUUGUAAACCUCUUUCAGUGGGGAAGAAGCGAAAGUGACGGUACCCACACAAGAAGGCCCGGCCAACUACGUGCCAGCAGCCGCGGUAAUACGUAGGGGCCAAGCGUUAUCCGGAUUUAUUGGGCGUAAAGAGCUCGUAGGCGGUUUGGUAAGUCGGUCGUGAAAGUCCGAGGCUCAACCUCGGAAUGCCGGUCGAUACUGCCAUGACUAGGGUUCGGUAGAGGAGAGUGGAAUUCUCGGUGUAGCGGUGAAAUGCGCAGAUAUCGAGAGGAACACCAGUAGCGAAGGCGGCUCUCUGGGCCGAUACCGACGCUGAGGAGCGAAAGCGUGGGGAGCAAACAGGAUUAGAUACCCCGGUAGUCCAAGCCG